AUUUUUUCUUGACCUUUUGGCUAAGGUCCAGUAUAGUCUCUGUAUCAGUUUAAUAACUGAUAUGUCCUCUAAAUGAGGACAUAUAUUACAUGGAUUUUUGGAAGAGAAAGUUAAGUAGAAGCUUUCUCCAUCCACUGCACAUACCAACCUGGUAUUGUAUGCACUACCUCUGAGAAUGGGGUACCCACU
Small nuclear RNA from Acomys russatus (golden spiny mouse), 189 nucleotides. RefSeq annotates it as U2 spliceosomal RNA. The record is from RefSeq and is a predicted model, not a curated record. The transcript has a single exon. NCBI's taxonomy places the organism in Eukaryota, Metazoa, Chordata, Mammalia, Rodentia, Muridae.